Miniopterus natalensis is the source of this 3321-nucleotide RNA transcript. It is a transcript of the gene named putative homeodomain transcription factor 1, with no coding region annotated. The record is from RefSeq and is a predicted model, not a curated record. NCBI's taxonomy places the organism in Eukaryota, Metazoa, Chordata, Mammalia, Chiroptera, Miniopteridae.
CCUUUCAGGGACCCCCCGCGCUCAGGCUGGCGACCCAGAUGGCCUCGAGUGAGAGAGAUGCUAUCUCGUGGUACCAGAAGAAGAUUGGAGCAUAUGAUCAGCAGAUAUGGGAAAAGUCAAUCGAACAGACUCAGAUUAAGGGCUUCAAAAACAAACCAAAAAAGAUGGGUCACAUAAAACCAGACUUGAUUGACGUUGACUUAAUCAGAGGCUCAACAUUUGCCAAAGCCAAACCUGAAAUUCCAUGGACAUCUCUGACUCGGAAGGGGCUCGUUCGAGUUGUGUUUUUCCCAUUGUUCAGCAACUGGUGGAUUCAGGUUACCUCUUUAAGAAUCUUCGUUUGGCUGCUACUGCUUUACCUCAUGCAAGUUAUAGCACUUGUGUUAUAUUUGAUGAUGCCUAUUGUGAAUGUAAGUGAAGUACUUGGACCCUUGUGCCUUAUGUUACUCAUGGGAACCGUCCACUGUCAAAUCGUGUCGACUCAGAUAGCAAGGCCAUCAGGAAGCAAUGGGAACCGGAGGAGAAGAAAAUUACGAAAAACUGUGAAUGGUGAUGGGAGCCGAGAAAAUGGAAGUAACUUCUCUGAUAAAGGCAGAGGAGUUGAAACUGUGGAACCUAUACCCUUGACUGGUGGCUUUUGGGAGACUCUCUUUGGCAACAGGGCUAAAACAGUAAGAUUAAUAUGUAACAAAGGGACUGAAACCAGCAAUGACACCAGUUACCUGCGUCCUAUCAUUAAGAAGAGACAGGGGCAACCAGAGAUUAAAAUAUGGCCAACGACAGAGAAAGCAAAGUUUUCAGAUGGCGAGAAGCGCCGUAGGGAGGCCUGCAGGCGUGUGUGUAGCGGGAUGUCAGAUGAUCUGUCAAGUGAAGAAGAUGCUGAUGCCCGGACACAGAUGAUGAUACUACGGCGGAGUGUGGAAGGGGCCUCCAGUGACAAUGGCUGUGAGGUCAAGAACAGGAAAUCAAUACUUCCAAGGCACAUAAACUCUCAGGUAACAAAAACCCCUGCCAAGUGGUGUCAUAUUAUGCGGGAUUCAGAUAGUCUGGCCGAAUCCGAAUUUGAAUCAGCAGUUUUCAGCCAGGGCUCCAGAUCCGGUGUGAGUGGUGGUGGCUCUCAAAGCAUCAAUAUGUCGAGAAGGGACUCAGAAAGCACCCGCCAUGACUCAGAGACUGAGGAUAUGUUGUGGGAUGAUCUGCUGCAUGGCCCAGAGUGCAGGUCGUCUGUCACCAGUGACAGUGAGGGGACCCAUGUGCACACCCUUCACUCAGGGACCAAACGUGACCCCAAAGAGGAUGUUUUUCAGCAGAACCACUUAUUCUGGCUUCAGAACUCAAGUCCUGCCUCUGAUCGAGUGAGUGCAAUCAUCUGGGAAGGAAAUGAGUGCAAGAAGAUGGAUAUGUCUGUGUUAGAAAUAAGCGGCAUCAUCAUGAGCAGGGUUAAUGCGUAUCAGCAAGGAGGAGGUUAUCAGAUGCUGGGCAAUGUUGUCACUGUUGGACUAGCGUUUUUCCCUUGUUUGCAUCGACUUUUCCGUGAGAAGAGCCUUGACCAGCUAAAGUCCAUUUCAGCCGAGGAGAUCCUGACUCUCUUUUGUGGGGCACCACCAGUUACCCCUAUUAUUAUUUUGUCCAUAAUUAAUUUUUUUGAACGAUUGUGUCUUACGUGGAUGUUUUUUUUCAUGAUGUGUGUGGCAGAGAGAACAUAUAAACAGAGAUUUUUAUUUGCAAAACUCUUCAGCCAUAUUACUUCUGCCAGGAAAGCUAGAAAAUAUGAAAUACCUCAUUUCAGACUUAAAAAGGUGGAGAACAUUAAGAUAUGGUUAUCACUGCGUUCCUUUCUAAAGAGACGGGGUCCGCAGCGUUCAGUUGACGUGGUUGUAUCCUCGGUCUUCUUACUGACGCUUUCGAUUGCUUUCAUUUGUUGUGCGCAGGUUCUCCAAGGACAUAAAACUUUCCUGAAUGAUGCUUAUAACUGGGAGUUUCUGAUCUGGGAAUCAGCUUUACUACUUUUCUUACUGCGCCUGGCCUCACUGGGGUCUGAAACCAAUAAGAAAUACAGCAACGUUUCAAUAUUACUUACUGAACAGAUUAACUUAUAUCUUAAGAUGGAAAAAAAGCCAACUAAGAAAGAACAGCUUACUCUAGUAAACAAUGUAUUAAAACUGUCCACCAAAUUGUUGAAAGAGCUGGACACACCAUUUCGACUCUAUGGACUGACAAUGAAUCCCUUAAUCUACAACAUCACACGAGUAGUAAUCCUUUCUGCUGUCUCGGGCGUUAUAAGUGAUCUUCUGGGAUUUAAUAUACGACUAUGGAAAAUUAAAUCCUAAGCUGAGCCAUGUGCCUGGACUCACUCCCCUUGCUGGCAUCGAUACCUCCCCAUGAAGGAAAGAGAUGACCGGAGAAACCACAUGUAGGAAAAUUCUCAAUUCCAGUGUGUCUCACAAAGUACAAGCUGACGGAUCUAUGUUUUUAGUUUUGGUUAACUGCAUUUAGAGGUAAGUAGACUUAUGCACUGCAAAAAUAACCUUUCAAAUUAAUGAAAUUCAGUUUUGAAAGUUUUUAGAUCUGCAUACUCAUAAUGGACCAAAUGGGCCUCACUUUCAAAUAUAAUGUAUGAUUUGGGAUUAUCAAGAAGAAAGUUUACUAAACAUAAUCUCCUCUAAACAGGUAUUGACUAGUUUAGUCUUUUAAAGUAAUCCUUUGCUCUUUGCAGUUACUGGUUCGCAUUUGAAUAGUGAAGUUUGAGUUUCACAAACGUGAAAUACCUCCCCUGCUCUCCUGCAGCACGUCCUGGGCCUGUCAGCUGUGAGAAGGAAUUACUCAAGUAGUGACAUCUGAGUCGUAAUUUUAAACUGGGACGUCAUCUGUCACUGUCAGAAGAGGCAACUUCCACCUUUACGGAUGAGUUAAGUCUUCUGCAGGGACUCAAAUAGUCCUCUCUGUAAACAUGCAACAUGCUAUCAAGGAUAUCGACUUCCAAGCCACCCUCGUUUUGUCUGCUGUGGAAGUGCCCGCGGGGAUAAACUCCACGUGAUACAGUAGAGAACUUGGCGAAGAUAUAAAGUGAGUUGUGACCACGUGGUUAGUAUCAGCGGACGUUGUCGGUUCGGACACCAUGAGGACGAGCGGGCGUGUCGGAUGAGCGCAGAGGGCGGCCAGCCAGGGGAUGGUGGCUCCUUAGCAGACCCGAAGGCCCUGCAUGCGGCCUAGGUAACUUGACGGCCAAAUCAAAACGUACGUACUUGUGUUUCAGGAUUUCUGAGAAAAUGACUUUUGGGGAAAACGCUGCUUUUUAUAGUAAAGAAAGAUUACAACUUG